AGGUGGCAUUACAUCAUUUCUUGCUGAGUAUUCAUGCUGUUGUACUGGAAGUUAUUAUCAUAUAAUACCUUAUGUGGUGCGUUUUAUAUUUAUUAUACUUGAUUAUUUAUAUAUAUAAGUGAGAAGUUAUUAAUAUUCUGUAAGUUGUGAUUGAGAUGUAAGAGUAAACUAGAUUUUCAUCCCCCUUGAAAAGGCGGGUAUAUUUUUUGUUUACGUUUUUUUUUGAGAAAUUUAAUAUUUAUAUUUAUGUUAAUUUUAUAUUUAUGAUAUAGA
RNAcentral lists this long non-coding RNA (273 nucleotides) under Brassica napus (rape). Its description in RNAcentral is "long non-coding RNA (BNAP_LNC011835)". Lineage: Eukaryota; Viridiplantae; Streptophyta; Magnoliopsida; Brassicales; Brassicaceae. The record is from RNAcentral.